CAGAGGAGGAUAACAACCGCUGCCAUCAAACUUGUCAAUUCUGCUUACCCCUGGGAGUUACAGGACACUGUCUUUUCUCCUAAAAUCCAUCUAUAAUUUGUUAUGGCAGAGCAAUUAUUAUUGCCACUAUGAAUAUGAGAGGAUGAAGCAUAAACAGGAUGUGACGAAGCCAGACUCCGCACCCUGACCAUCUCCGCUCAUCGCUGGAUUGGAAUCUGACUCUGGAUGCAGAGCCAUUUGUGAAAAAACAACAGUCACAAGCUCCACUUGCCUCUGUAUUUAUAUUUCUGCAUGAGAUAUAAUUCUAAAAGUGUAUUUCUAAAAGUGUGAUUUAAAUUAUUCAUUUAAUUACUUGCAGAUUCAUAAUUGAGGGUAAAUAAAUGUCUC
RNAcentral lists this long non-coding RNA (387 nucleotides) under Chinchilla lanigera (long-tailed chinchilla). RNAcentral's name for it is "lncRNA (ENSCLAG00000028744.1)". The record is from RNAcentral. Lineage: Eukaryota; Metazoa; Chordata; Mammalia; Rodentia; Chinchillidae.